AUGUAGGUGCAGGAAAGGAGAUGUGUCACACAUCAGUUUGGAUGUCUUCUCUGACUUGACAUCCACCAGUUCUGUUACACAAUAAAUCUAAUAAUUCCCAUCUAGCAUGAUCAAUAGCCAGAGAUAAAGGAAUUCCCACUUAACCAAAUGAACAAUAUUGGCAGGGGGCUGGCUCAGGUUUUCAUUUCUAAGUUCAAAGGCUGAAAAUCAGACAGUUCUAAAGUGAAUUUGGUAUUUUUCUAUAUUCAAUCAUAUUUCUUCCCUGAGCUUAAUUUCCAUGCAAUAAUAUUCAUCCGAAUUCUGGAAAACAAACAAUAAAUUAUGUCCAACUCAAUGUCUUCAAAAUCACCACAAGUUCACAAAAGCAAUAAUUCCUUUAAAUAAUUAAUACUCAUGAACUCACUUUUCUUUGCAUUUCCAAAGAAACCAUAGCAAUCUGGAUUGUUGUAUCCCUAGGGAUGAAGGAAGGACCUCAUUUGAAGUACAGUCAGCCCUCUAUAUCCAUAGAUUCUGCAUCCAUGGAUUCAACCACCCAUGGUCUAUUGCCUCCUUCCAAAAACAUAUGCAAAAAGCAUACUUUGAUUUUACUAUUUUGUUUAAUGGGGACCAUUUUACUACACUAUUGUAUAUAAUGGAACUUGGGCACCCAUUGAUUUUAGUAUCCACGGAAGGUCCACAAACCAAACCCCAGCUAGGAGUAAGGAGCCACUGUAGAGUAAAUGGCAAUGCUUCAAGCAUUACUAUUCAAACAGUGGAUAAUCUAAUUAUCAAACAAGUUAUUUCUUGGUACUUUUAAUGUCUAGAAAGUAACUAGAUAAAUUACUGCUUAUUAACUCAUUACUGUCAUUGUUACUCCUGUGUUAUAGAGAUAGAAAGAAUAUGUGCCAAUGUAGUGAUACCUGAGUUAAGAGUUUAAUUCAUUCAAUGACUGUGCUCUUAACUCAAAUCACUCUUAUCUCAAAGCAAAUUUACCAUUGAAAUGCUAUUACUCUAUUCCAGCCUCUCAGCCCCCACAUUAUGUUACAUGUUUUUAAAUAAGAAAAUGCACUUUAUAAGUAACAAAUAAUGUAUAUAGAGGUACAUUCACAUGGAACAAUAAAAAAGAAAGAAAGAUCAACUUUAAAAUGAUAGAAGCACAACGUUCUGGCACAAUGGUAGAAGCACAAAGCACAAAGUGAAGAGAUAGAAGCAUCAUUUUCUUUAUACUGUACACAUUCCAGCCUGCCUCCCUCUCUUGCUCUCUCUUCCUCUCUCUCCUCAUGAAGCCACACAUACUAGGAAUAAAAACCACACAAAAUUAACUAGCCCAAAGUUCCUCAAAGUAGACAAAAGCAAGCACACAGCAAUCUCCCAAAGUGGACAAGAGCAAAGCAGACAGCAAUCUCCCAAAGCGGACAAGAGCACGAGGUAUGGAGGCUGCUCCCUUGAAACCCUAAAGCCCUGUACUUUCAUGCUAGCACCCCUUCUCACACUAGCUCUUAAUUCAAAAUGCUACUCAUAUACCAAAGUGAAAUCCAGACCGAGCGAUGGCUCUUAACUCAAGAUGCUAUUAAGUUGGGAUGCUCUCAAGUCAAGGUUUCACUGUAUUUGAAAAAGGGUCAUAACCCAAAAUUCUCAAUUGUUGGAAAACACUUUUGAGAAAAGAGAUGGAUUAGAACCUGCAGAGCUUUAGAAUUGUUUUGUGUGUGUGUGUGUGUGUGGGGGGGGGGGGGGGUCUUGUUGUUUUGAGUGGUAAACAGCAUUUUAUCUGUAGAAAGUAACAUUUUUGUGCAGAAAAUAAUUUUCCUGCACAGAAAUGGGCAUUUUCUGUGUUAAAAAUAACAUUUAUGCAGAGGACAAGACAAGGAAGGGAUUUUGCCACUGCUGUUAUACUGCUGAAUAGCUCUUACAGUCAGGAAGUUCUUCCUAAUGUUCAGGUGGAAUCUCCUUUCCUGUAAUUUGAACCCAUUGCUCCAAGUCCUAGUCUCCAGGGCAGCAGAAAACAAGCCUGCUCCCUCUUCCUUAUGACAGUAUUUUAAAUAUUUGAACAUGUGGAUAAUGUCUCCUCUUAGCCUUCUCUGUCUGCAGGCCAAACAUAUCUAGCUCUUUAAGACCCUCCUCAUAAGGCAUGCUCUCCAAACCAUUGAUCAUUUUAGUUGCCCUUCUCUGAACACCUUCCAGCUUAUCAAUAUCACUCUUGAAUUGUAGUGCCCAGAAUUGGGCACACUAUUCCAGGUGAGGUCUGACCAAAGCUCAAGGAAACUUUUGAUGUAAAUCCAUGAUAGCAAAAGCAUUCAGAAGUCUAUUGUUGACAUGUGAUUAAAUUGUCAGCAACAUUAAGAACAAUUUAAAACACAUAGCACAUAUAAAGAGAUUAAAAUUAAAAGCACUUAAAGCUGUACAGCACUAUAUUAAAAAGCCCUUGCUUUAGCAAUCGUCUUUAAUUUAAAUACUGUAUAACUUUAACAUGACAUAGUAUAACGUUAAAGUGAGUGUUUUCUUUAUUUGAUGCAAGAAUGAAAAUAAAGUAGUCAAGGUUAUACUUGACUAUGUAGUAUAAUCAAGAAUAGAAUGAACUGAAUAUUGAAAUGUAUAAUCCUUUCCCAGCUGCAUCGUAGUCAUAAGCAAUGAACCAUUGGUGUCAACAUGUGCAAGGAAUGUUUGCUUAGUUUUAAUAUCCCAUUCAUUUACAUAAUGAGAACAGUUACUUAUUUCAUCUAAAGAAACAUGUUUCUUGUUCACUGUAUUUAUUUUAUAAUUCUCAUUUUAGGUUUAUUCAUUCUUUUUAUCCUCCUUUAACAAUUAACAUUAUUUCCAGCUGGGAGGAAUACUUGUUUUAGCAGCACCUUCUGGUGGCUGCCAUAUCCCCAUGUCAGAGGGAUGGGCUGGUGGAAUAGUCACCCACAUAUGUGAAUUAGAAAAAAAAUGUAUAACUUAUUUUUUAGAAAGUAAAUACCAUAAUUACUCAAGUUUAGUGCUUACAUUUUGGCUAAAUUACAUUGCCCAAAUUGAGGUGCUCAUUAGAUGUGAUGGCAUGUUAGAAUCACAUGGAUAAACCCAUCUGUAUGAAAAGACUCAGAGGAACCUUGAACACUUGAAGCCAACCAGGAGGUAUUGGGAGCACAGUGAGGGUGUUCCUGGUAACAGCAGCAGCCUCAGGGCUCAGUAGCACCUGGAGAAGGAUGAGGAGCAUCCAGCUGAUGACCCAGUUAUUCCUGCUGCUUAGCUGUGGAUCCAGACUCCUGGGUAGGUCUUGGGAUCCUCCCCCUGCACCCCACCUCUGUCCCAUGCAGAUCACAAUUAUGGUUCCCCUCCAUUAGGCCUUCAAAACCAUCAGCACCCCCAUUAGUUUUGAAGGCCUUGUGAAUGAGGCCAGUUGGGAACCAUGUGCAGCCUUGGUCUGACGGAGGGAAUGGCUUCCCAAAUGGCCUCAUUCAUGCUGCCUACCUCCUUGAUGUGUUAUGCCUGCACUGUUGGGUGCUGGGGUUGUGCAUGGAUCCAUUUGAAGAAAUGGUCUUCAGCUGGUUUGGCUGAUUUGGUUGUCCAUAACAGCAAGGACUCCACCGCCAUCUUUUUUCAUUUGAAAUAGACCACAUGGCUACCAAUCGCAGCUACUUUCAGUUUCUAUUUGGGAACAUGAGAAACUCGGUCACUGGUCAAUGACCAUAUUAAAGUGAACUUGACUUGACAAGAAGCUCGAAGAGGCUGCCACAUGCUUGCAUAGGGUUUCCCUGCAAGCUAUAUCUGUUGAGCCAAUCAGAAUAGAAGAAAGCUGUGAUGUGUCUCACCCAAACUUACCCAAGCUGGGUCUAUAGAAAAAGGGCAAGUGCUUCCAUUUUGCAGUUGUGUCCUGGCUCUAGAAAGAAGCAUUGUGCUUCAGAAGAUUGUGCUUCAGUCUGCUUGCCGCUCACAUCUUUAGUUUUUGUCUUGGCUUUGCCUUCUUCUAGCAUUUUGGUUUCAAAACAUUAGCAGAAGCAAAUCUAUUUCUUUGAAUCUAAUUUUAUUAUUUGAUUUUCCUUUAUUUCCUUUGUUUUCUUGAUCCUUUAUUUAGUGGGACUGGCAGUUGGAAAGUGUGUGUGUUUGAGGACUCAGGAGAAAGAGCAUCUCUUGGAUGGGUCACUUCACUUAUCCCACAGAUGGAAUUUAAUAUCAGAAGUGAAUCAGCCUGAAGAAAGAAAUGAUGGGUGGUGGAGCUGGAAGAAACCCAAGCGGAAACUGAUUCCCAGAUGGUGAUAAAUUCAAAUUCAGACUCCAUUAAACCUGAGUAGAGAAACCCAGCAGGUGGCUACGCUAAUGGAAAAUCCUGGCUUUGGAAUAAUGGGAAUUACAACCGACAGCUCUUCUACACCACAAAAAAGAUGAUGUAUUCCUAUUGACAGUGCUGCUUUUGAGUCCAGAAGGCUGAUCUGAUAGUUCAAGGCUGGCACGAGGGAGGCUAAAAGGCCCAUGGGUAUUUUUCCUUGGCCACACCACUGUAAUUUUUGUCAUCAGAACCUUCCAUUAUAAUUCAUUGUACAAAUCUCAUAGAAGUUGGAGAGAGUGGGGGUAAAAACUCGCUUCAUUUGGCCUUCAGGCAUACAUUUGUUCUUUUUUCCCUUGGUUUAAAGGACAAAUAAAGGUUGACACACAACAGCAUUUCCAGCCACUGCUGUAUUUUUAAUGCUGACAUUCCUAGCCAAGUGCUUUUUGUGUUUCCAGACAAGCCCAUCUGAGAGAGUUUGUGUUAAAAAGAUGCAUAGAUUGCCCUGAAGGGGUAAUGCCUGAUGUUGUACUAUAAUUUGCCAGAAUAUUGCAUUUGUGUGAAUUUUUUAACUGAUGUUUUUAAAAAUGUAUAGUAUUUCAUCAUAACAGGGAUGCUGUCCAAUUGCUUCAGUAAAGACAUGAGAAUUUAACCUAUAAAUGCACUGUCUUCUUUAUUUUGGCAAUACAUUUUGAUAACUAAAAAUGAAUAAGUAAAAUGUGUGUUACCUAUAUUAUUCACUUUACUCCAUUUUUAUAAAUGCCUUCCAACAAUAUCACUUUAACAUGAAUGUUAUUAUUAAUAAUUUUGUAGAACUAAAGACCAAAGAUAAAAUUAUACAAUGGAGCAUGAGCAUGGAAAUGCCAAGUAAAAUGUCCACCUAUCAAAUAUUAAGAUAAUGAGAAACUGAUAAUAAAUAUGAGAACGUGGUGGGAUGGUUUUAAAUCGCAGCUUUUUAUUCUUUCAAAACUUUCCUAUUAACAAAAUUAAAUAUAAAAAUGGUGUCAAUGUAGUUUUUUUUAUUCCUGAGCAACAUGAAAAUAUGCAUCAUUUGCAUGGCAUAAAUGUGUCUGAAAACUGUAAAAACAUUAAUUUAAAUAAAUACAAAAUGUUUGA
This is a long non-coding RNA of Anolis carolinensis (green anole), 5335 nucleotides long. RefSeq lists it as uncharacterized. The record is from RefSeq and is a predicted model, not a curated record. NCBI's taxonomy places the organism in Eukaryota, Metazoa, Chordata, Lepidosauria, Squamata, Anolidae. The transcript has 3 exons.